Molecule: long non-coding RNA, 4888 nt
Organism: Numida meleagris (helmeted guineafowl)
Lineage: Eukaryota; Metazoa; Chordata; Aves; Galliformes; Numididae
Exons: 2
Source: RefSeq, a predicted model, not a curated record
CUCUCAUACUUACAAUCUGUUUUUGUGCUUCAGCAGAUUUUCUUUCUGGACAGGAAAAGGAGAGGUUGAGGACCCAUGAGAAAUGGAGUGACUGAAGCAGAAUGAAAACAAGUCCUUGCAGAGCCACAGUGCCCAUCUCUCAACUCAGAUGACAGACAAUAUCACAAUGUCUAUGGCAAAGCAUAGUGCAGAAUGUCGUUUCUACUCUUCAUUACACAUCCAAAUCAUGAAAGUUUCUUUCUCGUUGUUAAAACAUUAAUUUAUUUGUUAAAGUGUGUCUAAAAACUAUCAGCGAGUAUUAUGGCAAGCUUUAAUUAUUAGCUGGGUUUUUCAUCCACGGAACAAGGCUAGCAGCGCACAAUUAUUCUGCUGGCUCAUCCUGGCUGACCUAACCAGAAAAUCCUGUUAGUGCCAACAGAGGAACAAACACUGGCAGAAAAACACAGAGGUGGAGAUCAAGUUGAAAAAACUAGAAUUAUGCAUCGUGAAGCUCUUUGUUUACCCUGCUGGUGACGGAGCACUGGCACAGACUGCCCAGAGGGUGCGGCGUCUGCUCCUUGGGGAUCUUCAGAAGCUGCCAGGAUGCGGCCCUGGGCACCCUGCUCUGGUGGCCCUGCUGGGCAGAGGUUGGAGCAGAUGGACUGAGGGGGCCCUGCCAACCUCAGCCGCGCUGGGAUUCUGUGAUUUAUGAGGCUUCCUAGGCUGCAAGGGUGCGCAUUUCUCCAAACUCCCUGAGAACAUGCCUCAAACCCAGCUUUUAGGCAAUUCUGAAAGGACGCAACCGUCUUUGGGUUUUACGACUAUUUAAGAGGAUGCAAACACUUUCCCACUAGGAGUGGACAAAGACUGAAUUGUCUUUAGAAGCAAUGACUUAGAAGCAAUAACCGAUGAGCUGAGUGGUACUCCAUUUCAGCUGAUAAACUGGGUAUUAAGGACAGAGCAUCACUGCCAAACACAAGCCCUCCCACAAUUCCUCAUUGCCUUCUGUGAACAAUGACACAACGAGCCAAGGUAUUUAGUCACCUUUACCUUUGCAAAGCCUUCUAGAUAAAUGAACAGGUAAGGCAAUUUGAAAUAAUUUUCUGGCAAGUAUUUGAGUCAUGUCAGAGCUCCUAUGUAAGUGAGAAACAAGAUGUGUAAAACCAGGAUGCCAAAUAUCUCUGACAUGAAUGCUAAUAUGAAUAAAUUACAAGGCUGCAAGAGGAUUCUCCAUCUGAGCAAGCCUAAUGAACCUUCUGUUGCAUCUGUAAAAUAUUUUUACAGUUUUGCCUAAUGAGCCUCAGAGAAUGGAAAAAUGCAGAACAAUGCUGGACUGGGAAAGUUAACCAGCUGAAUGGAAAUAAAUUCUUUUUCUCUUUGAAUUUAUUUUUAGCGGGAAAAAAAAAAAAUUGUCUUAAGAAGUAUAGCAGCAGACUUACCAGUAGACUUCCAAAGCAGUUUUACCGUUCUCCUCCUUGAGCUGCCCAGUGAUUUGGGAAACCGGUAAAAGAAACGCGCUAUCCUUCUGAUGGUUUUGCUGAAGUCGCUUCUUAUUGCCAUGUCUGAAAGGGCUCUACGGCUACAUCAGGACGAGCAGCAGCACGCACCCAGGCUGCGAGAGGAAAGCCCACGACUGCCCGCACACAGCACGCCGGCUCUGAGCUCAGCCUCAGCCAGCACGUCUCGAGACCACCUGUUAGUCCUAAAUCCCCUCCCUCCCAGUCACUCAGUUUAGAGCCCUUUAGACCUCCCUCUUUAUGCCAAGCGGAGCUAUAUUAAUAGAUGCUCUGGCUAAAGAAAGACUAAUGCUUCAGAGCCUUAACCUGGUGCUGCGUUUUCAGUGAUGUUAAAAGAGGACUUAUUUUCCACAGAGGGAUUUUGGAAGGUUCAUCUCCAGCUACCUCUUCUAGUCCGUAAGCAAAUCAAGCCCAAAAUUGAUAGCCUAAGUCCUCUUUCAAACGCCUUUUAUUUAAAUCAACAAGAUUUUAUCCAAGUGUCUCAGAGACCUUCCACUGAAGGUUCUUAGCAAUACACUGAACAAUUUCUAUAAAUACACAGGUUUUUAAAAAGCAACUUUCACUCGUAAUAGAUUCUAAGUUAAAUGUAACAGUCAGAGCAUUCACUGAUACAGUUUGAAUCACGCAUCUAUUCACAUUCAGCUAUCCAAAGGAACUACUAGCAUGUCAGUAGUCAGACUGCACGCUUCAAGCAAGAAACAUGUUGAAUUGUAAACCCAAAGAUGCAAUGAACUAAUAUACCCCCCUGUUUUAAAACAAAUACAACGUACAUUUACUUGUAUAAUUCUAACAUACACAUUUUAACAGCAAGACAAUUUAACCAUUUCCCAAGCCUAGUACGAUCUCCUCAGCUGUGUCACAAGCUUCUCUUCAGCUUCUCACAUUUAAUUUGAUUUUUUUUCUUCUGCUGAAUCUGGACAGCAGAAAACACUGAAUACCAAAACUAAUGUCAUUACUAAACAAAGAUCCUUCUAUCUCAACCUUUAAAUGACAGUAAGGAAGGGCUCUGUUACAUGAGCUACGCUCACAGCAUGCAGUUAAUAACUCUUCUAGAAUUCACUGUGUAUUUCUCUAUGCUAAAAUACGUGAAGUAUUUAGCCCCAUUUUAUACAUUGGACAUUUUUAACAUCCUGCUGACUUCUCAGGUCCAAGUUAGAUAGAUUGCAUUUCCUCCAGUCAGUAUGUCUCCGAAAACAAACAUUUCCACUUCUGCUGGAUCUGCCACAAUUCUUCAGCCAGUGUCAGCAGAAGAGCAGACGUCGGGGCUGGAGCUGCCCGACUCAUCUCCCCUCCGAGCUCCACCCCACCAUGCCAGCAGGAAUUUCACAGCAAAGUGAGGGUUUCAGCACAAGUCAGAGCUCUGACACCCGACUCGGCAAACAGCAGAGCAAGGGCCCAGCAGCUAACUUGCUGCUCUGGGAACCAGCAUGGUUCUGAGCGCUUAAGAGCGGCUGCCAAAUACUGAGUUGAAUGAUUAAGGCUUUUUUUUCCUGAAAUGGGCAUGCACAAAAUGUAAUGGAAACCAAAGUGGCGUAUAUAAAAAUACUCGAUAUUUCAGACUAGAAGCAAAUAUAUGGUAGGACUAAUAGGUUUAUAAAUUGAUAAAGAAGUAUGCAUUAUCUUUAGCAGGAUAUGAAAGGGAAUAUAUUUGUCACCCAAACAAAAAAUACCAAUAUCAUAUUUUUUGUUAUGAUGGUAUUUUAUGAGGCUUAAAAGAGCACUCAGUAAAACACAUCAGGGUAUAAAAACAUAAAGGGGCACACUGACUUUGCUGGUAGGCUCAACAAACCUGUGGAGGACUACGCCUUGUAGCAUUCUGUGCCUUACUGGAACAACACAGAAUUCGAUUAGCAUGCAAAAUCCUCAGUUAAAUAAACCAGACGAUUACGCUGUGUGAAAAACCAGUGUGCUGAACGGCACAGUGGCGGGUCAGCCUCACCCCCGACCCCUACAAGGCCUCUCCCUGUCACAGACCGAUGCCCACCCCGCCCACCUCACACCCUGCGGGCAUGCAGACCUGGCUCCAUGGCCAUGGGUGCUCUCUAGGCCAGGCACCAGAGCCAGGCAGACAUCCUCCCCGCAGCGUCCACACCACAGCCCGCUUUGCACAGGGAAACCUGCGCCUGCUGGUUGGAAAGCGGCCAUAGUGAGCUCCUAGCUGGACCCCUAGGCCCUAAGGGCUGCUGGUGAAACCCCCUGAGGCUGAGACACGUCACUGUCCACACUGACACACAAAGCCCUGCAGGUGGGCUCUGAGCAGGGCUACACAGGGCUGCUGUGCCAAAGCCAUUCCCUUGCUUACUGCUGGAUAUGCAAAACUGGAAAAGAAAAGAACCAAAUGGCAUACAAAAACUCUCACUAUUAUGUAACAUACUUCUAAACAAGGAAAUGCAAACAACCAGUGGCAUCUGUCUGGGAGUCAUAGAGUCACAGAAUUCCUAAGGUAGGAAGACCUCUACGAUCAUCCAGUCCAACCACCAACCCAUCCCCACCAUGCCCACUAACCACGUCCCUCAGUGUCACAUCCACACAUUUAUUGAACACCUCCAGGGACGAUGACUCCCUGGGCAGCCUGUUCCAAUGCAUCACCACUCUUUCUGAGAACUGUGUAAGAAAAAGUAAACAUAUUAAUGAGACAUUACCAUACACUCGUCUCGAUUAGCAAAUAUUCCCAAUAGCUGAGCUCAAAGCAAGUUUUUGCCUUUUUUGUAGUUAGAAUACACUUGGAAAACAAGGUGGUCUCUUUCCCACUCGUGGCAGUAUGGGUAUGUGGCACAAUGCUAUGUACAACCCCUACAGGCAGAUCGCAGAGUGGAGAAGUAUUCACAAGUCAGUCUUCACAAUACUAUUUUCUAUUCCAAUGGAGCUUGAACUUCCAGAGAAGGACAAAGACUUUCAGAGCUCUGUGGUCCCAUGCUUCAGCACUGCCAUGUAUGUAUGACAGUGUCAGGACACAGUGCCACAGAUUUCAUACUAAAACAUAAUUAUAACAUCAUAAUGUGUGAUGCCGAGCUGGUGCUAGGAAGCUCAUAAAGAAUGCAGUGCGUUUCCUAAGAGUAAAGAAACAAAAAUCUGCUGCAUUUGAGCUUUGUUCAGUAAAACUAACAUAAUACUUCCAAUUUCCAGCUCAGCUGUUCAUCCAUCUCUAAUCCAAAUAAGGAGCUAUAUUUUGAGCUUUCUAAAAAAACUUUUGAUUCUCAGCAGCUGCACAUACACAAAAAGAAGGGAUUAAAAAUGGACAGUGACUGACAAUCUGCAGCUUCCAAAACCGUGCCUCUGUUUGAAAGAUGGAAAUUGAAGAACUGCAGCACAAGUAAAACACAUUCACUUUCAGAUAUCAGGAUCUACUCUUUUGCAAAUAAAUCAAUAAAGUUGAAAUAAAUUGUACAGCC